This is a long non-coding RNA of Hirundo rustica (Barn swallow), 494 nucleotides long. RefSeq lists it as uncharacterized. The record is from RefSeq and is a predicted model, not a curated record. The transcript has 3 exons. Lineage: Eukaryota; Metazoa; Chordata; Aves; Passeriformes; Hirundinidae.
UUGGGAUCAGUUGGAGUUUGCUGGCCAUGCUGUGAGGAGGAAGGGACAGGAAGCAGUGAGCUAGAAAUGCAGAAAGAAGGAGCGAAAGAGCCAGAGCCGUGUGGAGCGACUCAUGGAGCUGCAACUUAGCAAAGGCCGUCAUGCUUGCUUUUCUCCCAAGGGAUCAAGACCAACAUAGACUAUGAAGAGAUGUACAGAUGAAUGGACUUACUCUUACAUGACUUUGUCAAUAGCCAUCAUAUGUUUUCAUUAUAUUGUUUUCCUGGGUUUUGAUUUUUACAAAUUUGUUCAUUAUUUGCAACUAUUUUACAAAUAGUUGUGUACAUGUUCCUGACAGGGGUUUUUGUUGAGUUAGGUCACAUUUUACUCUAAUGCAUGCUUUUCUAUUCUAAUUAUUCCACACCUUAAACUAAGAUACAUCAAUAGAACAUUCCGUAGGGCUUUUGAAUUCGCAAAAUUUUAUUUGUUAUAAAAAUUUCUAUGAAGAUAAGCUA